GCUUACGGCCACACCACCCUGAGCGCGGCCCGAUCUCGUCUGAUCUCGGAAGCUAAGCAGGGUCGGGCCUGGUUAGUACUUGGAUGGGAGACCGCCUGGGAAUACCAGGUGCCGUAAGCU
This is a ribosomal RNA of Lates calcarifer (barramundi perch), 120 nucleotides long. The record is from Ensembl. Lineage: Eukaryota; Metazoa; Chordata; Actinopteri; Centropomidae.